AUUGUAAAAGGAUGAUAUAAUUUGCGAUCUAGGACGAUUUCCCUGAGGACACCGCCAUGUUUUCAUUUAGGGGAUAUUGUGGCAUGCGAAUAAACUUUUGUCUGAUCUUUAU
This 112-nucleotide small nucleolar RNA is filed under the name Vanderwaltozyma polyspora DSM 70294. RNAcentral's name for it is "Small nucleolar RNA snR87". It matches the Rfam family "Small nucleolar RNA snR87". Lineage: Eukaryota; Fungi; Ascomycota; Saccharomycetes; Saccharomycetales; Saccharomycetaceae. The record is from Rfam by way of RNAcentral.